RNAcentral lists this transfer RNA (73 nucleotides) under Stegodyphus mimosarum. It matches the Rfam family "tRNA". From Rfam's summary of the family: Transfer RNA (tRNA) molecules are approximately 80 nucleotides in length. Their secondary structure includes four short double-helical elements and three loops (D, anti-codon, and T loops). Further hydrogen bonds mediate the characteristic L-shaped molecular structure. tRNAs have two regions of fundamental functional importance: the anti-codon, which is responsible for specific mRNA codon recognition, and the 3' end, to which the tRNAs corresponding amino acid is attached (by aminoacyl-tRNA synthetases). tRNAs cope with the degeneracy of the genetic code in two manners: having more than one tRNA (with a specific anti-codon) for a particular amino acid; and 'wobble' base-pairing, i.e. permitting non-standard base-pairing at the 3rd anti-codon position. Lineage: Eukaryota; Metazoa; Arthropoda; Arachnida; Araneae; Eresidae. The record is from Rfam by way of RNAcentral.
GCCUUCGCAGUGUAAUGGUCAGCGCACUGGGCGCGUAUUCAAGAGGUCUGAGGUUCAAGUCCCAGUGAAGGCA